UACGUAGGGUGCAAGCGUUGUCCGGAAUUAUUGGGCGUAAAGAGCUCGUAGGCGGUUUGUCGCGUCUGCUGUGAAAUCCCGAGGCUCAACCUCGGGUCUGCAGUGGGUACGGGCAGACUAGAGUGUGGUAGGGGAGAUUGGAAUUCCUGGUGUAGCGGUGGAAUGCGCAGAUAUCAGGAGGAACACCGAUGGCGAAGGCAGAUCUCUGGGCCAUUACUGACGCUGAGGAGCGAAAGCAUGGGGGAGCGAACAGG
This 254-nucleotide ribosomal RNA is filed under the name uncultured bacterium. RNAcentral's name for it is "partial 16S ribosomal RNA". It matches the Rfam family "Bacterial small subunit ribosomal RNA", at positions 524 to 776 of the family's 1533-position model. The record is from RNAcentral.